Molecule: ribosomal RNA, 250 nt
Filed under: uncultured bacterium
Lineage: Bacteria
Description: partial 16S ribosomal RNA
Rfam family: Bacterial small subunit ribosomal RNA
Source: RNAcentral
CCGCGGUAAUACAGAGGUCUCAAGCGUUGUUCGGAAUCACUGGGCGUAAAGGGUGCGUAGGUGGCGUGGUAAGUCAGAUGUGAAAGCCCGGGGCUCAACCUCGGAAUUGCAUCCGAUACUGCCAUGCUAGAGUACUGAAGAGGUGACUAGAAUUCUCGGUGUAGCAGUGAAAUGCGUAGAUAUCGAGAGGAAUACCAACGGCGAAGGCAGGUCACUGGGCAGUUACUGACACUGAGGCACGAAGGCCAGG